GACGAACGCUGGCGGCGUGCCUAAUACAUGCAAGUGGAACGCAUUGAUAUCACCGGAGCUUGCUCCACCGAUAUUAAUGAGUCGCGAACGGGUGAGUAACGCGUAGGUAACCUGCCUGAUAGCGGGGGAUAACUAUUGGAAACGAUAGCUAAUACCGCAUGAGAGUGUUUAACACAUGUUAGAGACUUAAAAGAUACCAUUGUAUCACUAUCAGAUGGACCUGCGUUGUAUUAGCUAGUUGGUAGGGUAGCGGCCUACCAAGGCACUGAUACAUAGCCGACCUGAGAGGGUGAUCGGCCACACUGGGACUGAGACACGGCCCAGACUCCUACGGGAGCAGCAGUAGGGAAUCUUCGGCAAUGGACGAAAGUCUGACCGAGCAACGCCGCGUGAGUGAAGAAGGUUUUCGGAUCGUAAAGCUCUGUUGUAGCGGAAGAACGAGUGUAAGAGGGAAAGUUUACACAGGACGGUACGC
This 475-nucleotide ribosomal RNA is filed under the name Streptococcus downei. RNAcentral's name for it is "bacterial SSU rRNA". It matches the Rfam family "Bacterial small subunit ribosomal RNA", at positions 28 to 480 of the family's 1533-position model. The record is from RNAcentral. Lineage: Bacteria; Bacillati; Bacillota; Bacilli; Lactobacillales; Streptococcaceae.